GACGAACCGUGCGAACGUUGUUCGGAAUCACUGGGCUUAAAGGGCGCGUAGGCGGCCUGCCAAGUCCGGGGUGAAAGCCCCCAGCUCAACUGGGGAAGUGCCUCGGAUACUGACGGGCUCGAGGGAGGCAGGGGUCGUGGGAACUUCCGGUGGAGCGGUGAAAUGCGUUGAUAUCGGAAGGAACGCCGGUGGCGAAAGCGCACGACUGGUCCUCUUCUGACGCUGAGGCGCGAAAGCCAGGGGAGCAAACGGG
Molecule: ribosomal RNA, 253 nt
Filed under: uncultured bacterium
Lineage: Bacteria
Description: partial 16S ribosomal RNA
Rfam family: Bacterial small subunit ribosomal RNA
Source: RNAcentral